CAUUUGUUUCAGGUGAGUACCUAAAUAAAAGUUAUUCGCGAACUUUAACACGUGGUACGUUCGUCGAGCGUGCACCAAUCGAUAGAGCGACGGAAAAGCCGGACGUAUGUUCGCGACCCGGGUAGGCCGACGAGCAAUUAUAAUUCGGUUCACACGAAACCACCGCCGAACGACAGCAAAGACGUCGCGUUUUCGACUGUUGAAUCGACGUGUUCGAUAUAGGUAACGUACGUUCCGAGCGUUAUGCGCAACGUCUGAAUGGACAUGAGCAUGUUGUCGCGGAAAGAGGGUGUCUUUUAGCCGCGCUCGCCC
Cinara cedri is the source of this 312-nucleotide non-coding RNA. The record is from the annotation of a GenBank genome assembly. NCBI's taxonomy places the organism in Eukaryota, Metazoa, Arthropoda, Insecta, Hemiptera, Aphididae.